UUCCGGUUGAUCCUGCCAGAGGUUACUGCUAUCGGUGUUCGCCUAAGCCAUGCGAGUCAAAUGUAGCAAUACAUGGCGUACUGCUCAGUAACACGUGGAUAACCUGCCCUUGGGUCCGGCAUAACCCCGGGAAACUGGGGAUAAUUCCGGAUAACGCACAUAUGCUGGAAUGCUUUUUGCGUAAAAUGGAUUCGUCUGCCCAAGGAUGGGUCUGCGGCCUAUCAGGUAGUAGUGGGUGUAAUGUACCUACUAGCCUAC
This 258-nucleotide ribosomal RNA is filed under the name uncultured archaeon. RNAcentral's name for it is "partial 16S ribosomal RNA". It matches the Rfam family "Archaeal small subunit ribosomal RNA", at positions 1 to 261 of the family's 1478-position model. The record is from RNAcentral.